GCUCCUAUGGUCUAAUGCAAGGACGCUGGAUGGAUAUAAGUGGCAAAUUACUAAAUAUCGAUCUCAUAAUCCAGAAAUGUGAGUUCAAAUCUUACUGGGAGCA
Molecule: non-coding RNA, 103 nt
Organism: Crucibulum laeve
Lineage: Eukaryota; Fungi; Basidiomycota; Agaricomycetes; Agaricales; Nidulariaceae
Source: the annotation of a GenBank genome assembly